AUGGGCGCAAGCCUGACCGAGCGACGCCGCGUGUGCGAUGAAGGCCUUCGGGUUGUAAAGCACUGUCGAGGGGGAGGAAAGCCGCAAGGUCUGACCUAUCCCUGGAGGAAGCACGGGCUAAGUUCGUGCCAGCAGCCGCGGUAAGACGAACCGUGCGAACGUUAUUCGGAAUCACUGGGCUUAAAGGGCGCGUAGGCGGUCGAUCAAGUCUGGGGUGAAAUCUUUCGGCUUAACCGGAAAAGUGCCUUGGAUACUGAUUGGCUGGAGGGAGGUAGGGGCAGUUGGAACUUCCAGUGGAGCGGUGAAAUGCGUUGAUAUUGGAAGGAACGCCGGUGGCGAAAGCGAGCUGCUGGACCUCUUCUGACGCUGAGGCGCGAAAGCUAGGGGAGCAAACGGGAUUAGAUACCCCGGUAGUCCUAGCCCUAAACGAUGGGUACUAGGUAGUGGACUUAACAUGGGUUCACUGCCGAAGCAAAAGUGUUAAGUACCCCGCCUGGGGAGUAU
RNAcentral lists this ribosomal RNA (504 nucleotides) under uncultured bacterium. Its description in RNAcentral is "bacterial SSU rRNA". It matches the Rfam family "Bacterial small subunit ribosomal RNA", at positions 371 to 883 of the family's 1533-position model. The record is from RNAcentral.